RNAcentral lists this ribosomal RNA (403 nucleotides) under uncultured microorganism. RNAcentral's name for it is "bacterial SSU rRNA". It matches the Rfam family "Bacterial small subunit ribosomal RNA", at positions 9 to 409 of the family's 1533-position model. The record is from RNAcentral.
GAGUUUGAUCGUGGCUCAGAUUGAACGCUGGCGGCAGGCCUAACACAUGCAAGUCGAACGGUAACAGGAAGCAGCUUGCUGCUUCGCUGACGAGUGGCGGACGGGUGAGUAAUGUCUGGAAGCUGCCUGAUGGAGGGGGAUAACUACUGGAAACGGUAGCUAAUACCGCAUAAUGUCGCAAGACCAAAGAGGGGGACCUUCGGGCCUCUUGCCAUCGGAUGUGCCCAGAUGGGAUUAGCUUGUUGGUGGGGUAACGGCUCACCAAGGCGACGAUCCCUAGCUGGUCUGAGAGGAUGACCAGCCACACUGGAACUGAGACACGGUCCAGACUCCUACGGGAGGCAGCAGUGGGGAAUAUUGCACAAUGGGCGCAAGCCUGAUGCAGCCAUGCCGCGUGUAUGAA